Molecule: ribosomal RNA, 465 nt
Filed under: uncultured bacterium
Lineage: Bacteria
Description: bacterial SSU rRNA
Rfam family: Bacterial small subunit ribosomal RNA
Source: RNAcentral
CUACGUGCCAGCAGCCGCGGUAAUACGUAGGUGGCACGCGUUGUCCGGAAUUAUUGGGCGUAAAGCGCGCGCAGGCGGAUUGGUCAGUCUGUCUUAAAAGUUCGGGGCUUAACCCCGUGAUGGGAUGGAAACUGCCAAUCUAGAGUAUCGGAGAGGAAAGUGGAAUUCCUAGUGUAGCGGUGAAAUGCGUAGAUAUUAGGAAGAACACCAGUGGCGAAGGCGACUUUCUGGACGAAAACUGACGCUGAGGCGCGAAAGCCAGGGGAGCGAACGGGAUUAGAUACCCCGGUAGUCCUGGCCGUAAACGAUGGGUACUAGGUGUAGGAGGUAUCGACCCCUUCUGUGCCGGAGUUAACGCAAUAAGUACCCCGCCUGGGGAGUACGACCGCAAGGUCGAAACUCAAAGGAAUUGACGGGGGCCCGCACAAGCGGUGGAGUAUGUGGUUUAAUUCGACGCAACGCGAA